AACGAACGCUGGCGGCAGGCUUAACACAUGCAAGUCGAACGCCCUAGCAAUAGGGAGUGGCGCACGGGUGAGUAACGCGUGGGAAUGUACCGUUUAGUGGGGGAUAACCAAGGGAAACUUUGGCUAAUACCGCAUACGCCCUUCGGGGGAAAGAUUCAUCGCUAAACGAUCAGCCCGCGUGAGAUUAGGUAGUUGGUGGGGUAACGGCCUACCAAGCCGACGAUCUCUAGCUGGUCUGAGAGGAUGAUCAGCCACACUGGAACUGAGACACGGUCCAGACUCCUACGGGAGGCAGCAGUGGGGAAUAUUGGACAAUGGGGGCAACCCUGGUCCAGCCAUGCCGCGUGAGUGAUGAAGGCCUUAGGGUUGUAAAGCUCUUUUACCGAUGAAGAUAAUGACGGUAGUCGGAGAAAAAGCCCCGGCUAACUUCGUGCCAGCAGCCGCCGUAA
Molecule: ribosomal RNA, 449 nt
Filed under: uncultured bacterium
Lineage: Bacteria
Description: partial 16S ribosomal RNA
Rfam family: Bacterial small subunit ribosomal RNA
Source: RNAcentral